This 253-nucleotide ribosomal RNA is filed under the name uncultured bacterium. RNAcentral describes it as "partial 16S ribosomal RNA". It matches the Rfam family "Bacterial small subunit ribosomal RNA", at positions 524 to 776 of the family's 1533-position model. The record is from RNAcentral.
UACGUAGGGGGCAAGCGUUGUCCGGAUUUAUUGGGCGUAAAGAGCGUGUAGGCGGCCAUACAGGUCCGUUGUGAAAACUGGAGGCUUAACCUCCAGACGUCGAUGGAAACCGUAUGGCUAGAGUCCGGAAGAGGAGAGUGGAAUUCCUGGUGUAGCGGUGAAAUGCGCAGAUAUCGGGAGGAACACCAAUGGCGAAGGCAGCUCGCUGGGACGUGACUGACGCUGAGACGCGAAAGCGUGGGGAGCAAACAGG